CCUACGGGAGGCAGCAGUAGGGAAUAUUGCUCAAUGGGGGAAACCCUGAAGCAGCAACGCCGCGUGGAGGAUGAAGGUCCUCCGAUUGUAAACUCCUUUUUGUAGAGAAGAUAAUGACUCUAUCUAACGAAUAAGCACCAGCUAACUUCGUGCCAGUAUCCGCGGUAAUACGGAGGGUGCAAGCGGUACUCGGAAUCACUGGGCGUAUAUCGCGCGUUGGUGGGAUAGCAAGGUAGAUGGGAAAUACUACGGCUUAACCCUAGAAGUGCAGUUGACACCGGUGUUCUAGAGUUGGGGAGAGGUAGGCGGAAUUCGUGGUGUAGGGGUGAAAUGCGGAGAGAUCAAGCGGAAUACGGAUUGCGAAGGCGACAUGCUAGAGCAUAACUGACGCUGAUGCGCGAAAGCGUGGGGAGCGAACAGGAUUAGAUACCCGUGUAGUC
This 440-nucleotide ribosomal RNA is filed under the name uncultured bacterium. RNAcentral describes it as "partial 16S ribosomal RNA". It matches the Rfam family "Bacterial small subunit ribosomal RNA", at positions 338 to 795 of the family's 1533-position model. The record is from RNAcentral.